Long non-coding RNA from Trifolium pratense (red clover), 503 nucleotides. RefSeq lists it as uncharacterized. The record is from RefSeq and is a predicted model, not a curated record. The transcript is spliced from 2 exons. Lineage: Eukaryota; Viridiplantae; Streptophyta; Magnoliopsida; Fabales; Fabaceae.
UAAAACAAAAAAACUGCUAUAAAUAGCAAACUGAGACAGAAAACAUUAUUUUUCCUCAGUUUUUCUUUUCUUCUUCAACCCUUCCCUAGCUCUGCUAGGGUUUCGUCCCAGCCCAUUGCCGGCGUGGCGGCCGUCAGGCCAGACGGCGGCGCCGCCGUGCCGGAACCCUAAAACCACCCAAAAAAAGAAAAAUCUUAAACUAAACCCCCCCUUAUUCUACCCCCUAGAACACGAAUAUAAACAUGAAAAGUUCAGAAACCUCACCCACAAGUAGAUCGGAGAAGGCAGUUUCCGAAGUCUUUCUCCUUCUUCUUCUUUCUGUUCCUGCGUUCUUGUUUUCGUCUAGUCUUGAUGAUUUGAAAAAAAGUUGGUGGUGGAAGAGGAAGAGGAAGUGCAACGCUGAUGUUGCUGUGUUGCUAUUUUCUUUUCUUUUUGCAGGUUGCAGGUUUUAACUUGUUCCUCUUGUUCUGUUGUGCUGGAGCAAAAGAAAGAGAAGAAAGGAA